RNAcentral lists this ribosomal RNA (842 nucleotides) under Agaricus basicingulatus. RNAcentral describes it as "Agaricus sp. BOS-2020b partial large subunit ribosomal RNA". It matches the Rfam family "Eukaryotic large subunit ribosomal RNA", at positions 82 to 910 of the family's 3401-position model. Lineage: Eukaryota; Fungi; Basidiomycota; Agaricomycetes; Agaricales; Agaricaceae. The record is from RNAcentral.
AGUAACUGCGAGUGAAGCGGGAAAAGCUCAAAUUUAAAAUCUGGCGGUCUUUGGCUGUCCGAGUUGUAAUCUAGAGAAGUAAUGCCCGUGCUGGACCGUGUAUAAGUCUCCUGGGAUGGGGCGUCAUAGAGGGUGAGAAUCCCGUCUUUGACACGGACUACCAGUGCAUUGUGGUAUGCUCUCAAAGAGUCGAGUUGUUUGGGAAUGCAGCUCAAAAUGGGUGGUAAAUUCCAUCUAAAGCUAAAUAUUGGCGAGAGACCGAUAGCGAACAAGUACCGUGAGGGAAAGAUGAAAAGAACUUUGGAAAGAGAGUUAAACAGUACGUGAAAUUGCUGAAAGGGAAACGCUUGAAGUCAGUCGCGUUGGCCGGGGAUCAGCCUUGCUUUUUGCAUGGUGUACUUUCUGGUUGACGGGUCAGCAUCAAUUUUGACCACUGGAAAAGGCUCAAGGGAAUGUGGCAGCUUCGGCUGUGUUAUAGCCCCUGUUCACAUACAGUGGUCGGGAUUGAGGAACUCAGCACGCCGCAAGGCCGGGUUUCGACCACGUUCGUGCUUAGGAUGCUGGCAUAAUGGCUUUAAGCGACCCGUCUUGAAACACGGACCAAGGAGUCUAACAUGCCUGCGAGUAUUUGGGUGGAAAACCCAAGUGCGCAAUGAAAGUGAAAGUUGAGAUCCCUGUCGUGGGGAGCAUCGACGCCCGGACCAGAACUUUUGGGACGGAUCCGCGGUGGAGCAUGUAUGUUGGGACCCGAAAGAUGGUGAACUAUGCCUGAAUAGGGUGAAGCCAGAGGAAACUCUGGUGGAGGCUCGUAGCGAUUCUGACGUGCAAAUCGAUCGUCAAAU